UAAGGGAUAUUGCGACAAUGGGCGUAAGCCUGACGCAGCAACGCCGCGUGCGGGAUGACGGCCUUCGGGUUGUAAACCGCUUUUCUGGGGGAAGAGGCAGGACGGUACCUCAGGAAGAAGUCUCGGCUAACUACGUGCCAGCAGCCGCGGUAAAACGUAGGAGGCGAGCGUUAUCCGGAUUUACUGGGUGUAAAGCGCGAGCAGGCGGUGGUGCAAGUCAUGUGUGAAAGCGCUCAGGCUCAACCGGGCGAGGACGGGUGAAACUGCACCACUGGAGGCAGGUAGAGGCGGAUGGAAUUCCGGGUGUAGUGGUGAAAUGCGUAGAGAUCCGGAGGAACACCAGUGGCGAAGGCGGUCCGCUGGGCCUGGCCUGACGCUCAGACGCGAAAGCAUGGGGGAGCGAACGGGAUUAGAAACCCCGGUAGUCCAUGCUGUAAACGAUGUGGACUAGGUGUGGCGGGGUGAAAGCCGCGGUGCCGCAGCUAACGUGAUAAGUCCA
This 499-nucleotide ribosomal RNA is filed under the name uncultured Chloroflexota bacterium. RNAcentral's name for it is "bacterial SSU rRNA". It matches the Rfam family "Bacterial small subunit ribosomal RNA", at positions 355 to 868 of the family's 1533-position model. The record is from RNAcentral. Lineage: Bacteria; Bacillati; Chloroflexota.